Molecule: ribosomal RNA, 631 nt
Filed under: Coenogonium pineti
Lineage: Eukaryota; Fungi; Ascomycota; Lecanoromycetes; Ostropales; Coenogoniaceae
Description: SSU rRNA
Rfam family: Eukaryotic small subunit ribosomal RNA
Source: RNAcentral
AUGCCCUUCGGGGCUCCUUGGUGAAUCAUAAUAACUUANCGAAUCGCAUGGCCUUGCGCCGGCGAUGGUUCAUUCAAAUUUCUGCCCUAUCAACUUUCGAUGGUAAGAUAGAGGCUUACCAUGGUCUUAACGGGUAACGGGGAAUUAGGGUUCUAUUCCGGAGAGGGAGCCUGAGAAACGGCUACCACAUCCAAGGAAGGCAGCAGGCGCGCAAAUUACCCAAUCCCGACACGGGGAGGUAGUGACAAUAAAUACUGAUACGGGGCUCUUUUGGGUCUCGUAAUUGGAAUGAGUACAAUCUAAAUCCCUUAACGAGGAACAAUUGGAGGGCAAGUCUGGUGCCAGCAGCCGCGGUAAUUCCAGCUCCAAUAGCGUAUAUUAAAGUUGUUGCCGUUAAAAAGCUCGUANUUGAACCUUGGGCCUGGCUGACCUGUCCUCCUAAUCGAGCGCACGGGUUCGGUCGGGCCUUUCCUUCUAGGGAACCCCAUGCCCUUCACUGGGUGUGGUGGGGAACUAGGACUUUUACCUUGAAAAAAUUAGAGUGUUCAAAGCAGGCCUUUGCUCGAAUACAUUAGCAUGGAAUAAUAGAAUAGGACAUCGGUUCUAUUUUGUUGGUUUCUAGGACCGCCGU